Molecule: ribosomal RNA, 494 nt
Filed under: uncultured bacterium
Lineage: Bacteria
Description: partial 16S ribosomal RNA
Rfam family: Bacterial small subunit ribosomal RNA
Source: RNAcentral
GACGAACGCUGGCGGCGCGCUUAACACAUGCCAGUCGAACGGAAAGGCCUGCUUUCCCUUGUGGAUUGCGGGUACUCGAGUGGCGAACGGGUGAGUAACACGUGAGUGAUCUGCCCCCAACUUGGGUAUAAGCCUGGGAAACUGGGUCUAAUUCCCGAUAGGACUGCAGGGUGGUGCCUGUGGUGGAAAACGAUUUUCUAGUGGUUGGGGAUGAGCUCGCGGCCUAUCAGCUUGUUGGUGGGGUAAUGGCCUACCAAGGCGGCGACGGGUAGCCGGCCUGGGAGGGUGGACGGCCACAUUGGGACUGGGAGACGGCCCAGACUCCUACGGGAGGCAGCAGUGGGGAAUAUUGCACAAUGGGCGGAAGCCUGAUGCAGCGACGCCGCGUGGGGGAUGACGGCCUUCGGGUUGUAAACUCCUUUCGACCGCGAGGAAGCCACCUGGUUGGAAGGGUGGUGACGGUAGUGGUAGAAGAAGCACCGGCUAACUACGUG